UUGUUUGCAAAUGUAGCAUCAUCAAGAUUCACAUGCAACGUCGUAUGUAUGUAUAUAUAUAUAUAUGUAUAGUUUGGGCCUGAGAAUCUUGAUGAUGCUGCAUUGGCAAUGAA
Gossypium raimondii (Peruvian cotton) is the source of this 113-nucleotide non-coding RNA. Lineage: Eukaryota; Viridiplantae; Streptophyta; Magnoliopsida; Malvales; Malvaceae. The record is from Rfam.